CAGGCUUAAUAAUGAGAAACACUAUUUAGCCGUCUGACCCAGUCACAAAAGGGUUAACUUUUAUUUCUUCUCUUUGAUGGACAUGUAAGUGAGCCAAUGGGUGAGCUCUGUGAGAUAGUGAGCUGACCAAUCAGCUGCCCGCUAGGCUCUGUUACAGUUACACCUCUAGUUUCGCGUCACUGCACGUUCUUUUGGCGCUUGCACUUGAGCAUAGAAGGCUGCGUUAUCUGCUUGAGUGUAAACGAAAGCUGUGCCUGUAUCCACUGUUGUCACGGAGCUAAAGGCAAUGGAUUCCGUUAAAAUGGUCAGGUUUUGGUAAAGAGUGGGAAACAUCGUGCAGAGGUCCUGGAGAGAUACAGAUCCAGACGUUCCGAACGUUCUUCGAGAGACUCAUUGAUUCCCAGUCCAGGUGGCUGGGUGGCGAGCCAACCGUGUUUGACAACGAAUCAAAUCGUUUUAGAUGAACUGUCCGGAUCAUCCUCUUCAUCUUCUUUGUGGUAGGACAAGCACUAACUCAACCUAAAAAUAAAGGGCCCCAACGUUGAAACUGCAUUCUUGUCUACAAAGGCAAGGUGAACCGAGGACAAUCUGAGCUCAAAAGUACUGAAUAAGAGGGUUUUGUUUUGUUUAUGUGCGCACUUUAUUAUUUUAGUUUGUUAUUUUUCAUAAAUGUGUUUUUUGUAUGUAUGUUCUACCCUGUGAUUUUAAUACAGGUUAUCUAAACUGUCA
Pimephales promelas (fathead minnow) is the source of this 729-nucleotide non-coding RNA. Lineage: Eukaryota; Metazoa; Chordata; Actinopteri; Cypriniformes; Leuciscidae. The record is from RefSeq and is a predicted model, not a curated record.